RNAcentral lists this ribosomal RNA (301 nucleotides) under uncultured bacterium. RNAcentral describes it as "partial 16S ribosomal RNA". It matches the Rfam family "Bacterial small subunit ribosomal RNA", at positions 509 to 807 of the family's 1533-position model. The record is from RNAcentral.
CAGCAGCCGCGGGAAUACGUAGGUGGCAAGCGUUGUCCGGAAUUAUUGGGCGUAAAGGGCUCGCAGGCGGUUUCUUAAGUCUGAUGUGAAAGCCCCCGGCUCAACCGGGGAGGGUCAUUGGAAACUGGGAAACUUGAGUGCAGAAGAGGAGAGUGGAAUUCCACGUGUAGCGGUGAAAUGCGUAGAGAUGUGGAGGAACACCAGUGGCGAAGGCGACUCUCUGGUCUGUAACUGACGCUGAGGAGCGAAAGCGUGGGGAGCGAACAGGAUUAGAGACCCCAGUAGUCCCUGUCUCUUAUAC